Molecule: long non-coding RNA, 1269 nt
Organism: Bactrocera tryoni
Lineage: Eukaryota; Metazoa; Arthropoda; Insecta; Diptera; Tephritidae
Exons: 3
Source: RefSeq, a predicted model, not a curated record
AUACAGGGCCGGCAUCGAAAAAAAUAUUACAGUUGCGGAUUGAACGCAUGAGGAACCACUACGGGCAGGGUUAUGGGUGGAUGUAUAAUACUAAGUACUGUGGUGGAGAGGUCAGCGGUGCGGCUUACCUGAGGGAGGGCUCCCGUUUGAUGGGUGAAUCACCAGUAGCGGUGUUGCGUCUACUGCUGCUCACACUGGACCGUUUGUAUGUCCCACUAGGCUCCGGGCUAUCCGGCGGCGACGAAUCGGCGGCUGCGCCUGCAAGGACAUCGUCAACGUUUGAGGGUGCAUAACCAGAAUCAUGAUUACCAUUUGGAUCGGCCACCACAAGUUGUGGUGGACUGCUGAUCUGCGCAACAACACUGCGGGAUGACAACGCAAAUGGAUGACCGUGAAGCGCGGCCGCAUUUUUAAUUUAUGUUGACAUUGUGGAUGUGGCGACGAUGCGUGUUUGUGGUAUUUCCAGAUGGAUAGCGGUGUGCAAAAUGAAAAACGGGAAAAUAACAAAAAAUAUUUAUAAGAUGUAUGCAGAUGGCUGUGUAAUUGGAGGGUUGGCAGCGUUAUGAAAUUUUUUUCCUGACUAAAUAUACACCUUCUCACAUUACCUAAUGCCAACCAUGUUUCCAUGUGAAUUUGAUAGCGUAAAUUGUUUUAGAGCACAGGGAAGGAAGAUUUGCCAAAAGCUAUUGGAGUCUUGAGGUCUAGUGUUUUGUUAGGAUGUUUUAAAGCCAACACGUUGGAUAAUAUCUGAGAAAACAUUAACUUUUGUUCCCUCAUUUUUUUCUUAAUAUUAAGUAAUAUGCAUCUGGUAACGAAAGGACUUAACAAGACUACGCUAAUAAUAUUUGAGACAAGUUUAAUAAUGAAUAAGUUAUCAGUAAAAGAAGCUGUGAAUCAUAUUACUUAUAUGAGCCUUUAGUUUUACGGGUCGAAAUUGUCAUAAUCGCGAUUUUCGGUAUUUUCGCAAAUUUCCAAAUUUAAACAUAUUUUUUGUUGAGUUUUCACACACUUUUUUCUCAUAAGAAAUUGUAUAAAAGCAAGUGGCAAACUCGUAAUUUCUUUUGAAUUUAUCAGUAAUCACAAUUGGCCCCAGGAAGCAGUCGAGUUUUUCAUUUAUCCACUACUAAUUAUCCUGCUUUUGUCUCUCCAUCGCAUUGUAAUUUAUUUUACAUUUUGAAGGAUUUUUUUUGUAGCUCUCUUUCAUUACUUAUUACUGCGCUUUAUGUGUGUUUGUAAUUAACUAGUGUCUGUUGAAGUGUUAUUGUUGUU